UCACACACGAGACGGCGCGUCAUUGACACAACUCGGUGACCCGACGGGGGGAGGGAAAAAGUGAUGCUUGAAUGGUAGUGUAGUCGGUGUAGUACUAGAGUCGGGGGGGUCGACACACCUGUUGGAGAAAAGAUUCACUACCGUGUUCCCGCUUGACCCAACCUCGCCACGGCCUCAACAGAUCGUGAUUCAAAAGGGGGACAAGCCAACCGUGACCGUAGGGCCGGAGUGAACUAACGCCACAGGAUUUUACGCAUCAUUAAACAUGGUGGAUGUGUGUUUUCGUUAAAAAAAAGGAUAACUAAAAUUUUCAAGUCACGCAACGAUGAGUUUAUGGAGUCCUACACAUGUACAGUUUACUGUUUUACGGGCUCGAAACUUGAUAGCCAAAGGGAAGGGAGGUAAGUCGGCGAGAUUUGUCGAACUU
Long non-coding RNA from Physella acuta, 427 nucleotides. RefSeq lists it as uncharacterized. Lineage: Eukaryota; Metazoa; Mollusca; Gastropoda; Physidae. The record is from RefSeq and is a predicted model, not a curated record.